CUCAGGCACUGACUGUGACGACGCGGGUGGGGAGAGACUGUGCACCUACACGUGUCACUUCACAAAGGCCUCCAGAUUCCAACAAGUUGACAAACGGUGCAAAUGUCAGAGAUUAAAAUAUCUCCUUCAUUGCUGAUAAGGCUGAGUUGGCGAAUUCUUCUUGGAUCCAAUACAAAAAUGAGAUUGUUUCCAUUUCUCACCUGAAUUAAACUUACAGGGCAGAGGUGACCUGCUUAGUGAGCAGGCCACGUUCAGCAAUAGCAGAUCAAAGACCCGUAUGUCUUGUGAUCUUCAUGAAGUGGCUGGCAAGGCCAGAGAUUCUGAUCCCAUCACCACGUGUUAAUCUCCUGUCAAGAGAAAUAAGGAGCUACUGAGAGAAAAGCAGAUCCUGACUCCCCUCUACUUGUGAGUGACUACAAAAUCCUAUUUUGUGGCGUGAGGCAGGAGCCUAGAGAGAUUGGAGAAAAAAGCUGCUCCUCUAGAAUAUGAAAAUACCGUUUAAAGGGAAAGAGAUUAAUUAGUGAUUGAGCGCAUUCAGUGCUGUCUCUCCUCCUAUUUAUCUGGCUGCCUGUUGUCUGCAUGGCCUCCUGCUACUCAUUGUGGGUAACAUCGGAGACCUUCAUCUGCAGGAAGAUAGAAAAAGGGGCUUAUGAUCAGGCAAAGGAGACACCAGGAAAGAGGAGCAGAGUGGCUAGGGCAGUGCACUGCAGAUGCAUGGACGAAAGCUCGCAGCGACACAGGUAUGGGGUGUCUAAUCAGGGAUGAGUGUGAGCAGCAGAAUGAGGAGCAUGCUUUCCCAGAGGAAGAGAGGAAGCCACUGGAGAGAUGAAGGAUGCCAUGGACAGGAGAUGAGUCCUGGUCCAGCCUGUAAUAAGAUGGAAAUGAAGAGAGCUGCCGAAUAAUGAAAAAUCACUCAAAAGGGGCAGAUUCUGAUGACGGCACAGGGGCCACCAAAGACUGGAGAUAUGAAGAGUGGCUGAGGUGGUGUCUCUGGAGCCGCCGAGCAGCAGCCUCAUUGCUCAGAAGAUGAAGAUGCUGACGAAGACCCAGACAGGAAAAAAGGAAGAAAAAGCAUCCUGAUUGUUCCAUUAGCAAAGCCACAGUCCCGGAGAGCAAGGGGAGGGGCACAGCAGGCAGCCGCACCCAUGGGAUGCAUCUGCAGCUUGUGAGCAAUGCAUGAAAGAUGAAUCACACAGCAGCAAUGCCUUCAGCUUCCGUGUGCUAUGGCUCACUCAGCACCAGCUCUGCAGGCUGCCUAAGCCAGAAGUCAGUCUCUGCCUUUAGACUUGCUCACUUCUUUUAGGAACGGAGAUAUCCUCUGAUCCCUUGUCCUACAACCUCGAUUAAUAUCUUUCCAACAGCCAUCUGCCAAACUCAAGAAGACCCUGGAACAACCUAAUUGGAAAAGUUUCCAUCUUAUCCCUUGGAAAACUAUAGAAAAGUAGUGUCACACAAAUGUUUAAUUUCUGAUUUCUACAAUUUCAGAUACCAGAGUUUAUCUGUUACCAUGACAACUAACAGCUUUAUAAAUGUUUUCUAGCCUCUGCUAUUUUCUGGAACUUAUCUACAUUUCAGUAUUUGCUUAAUAAUUUUGAGCUGACACUAGCAACAUAAUUGUGUCUGGAUUGUGUAUGUGUAUGUCUUGUGUGUGUUGGCAGGGGGUGGGUAUAACCUAUGUCAGUGUUUUUCAAUGUGAGCAAAUUUUAAUAAACUUUUAUAUUUAAUGUGAACAUUAACUGUC
This 1741-nucleotide long non-coding RNA is filed under the name Homo sapiens (human). Its description in RNAcentral is "long intergenic non-protein coding RNA 1508". Lineage: Eukaryota; Metazoa; Chordata; Mammalia; Primates; Hominidae. The record is from RNAcentral.